Molecule: long non-coding RNA, 2501 nt
Organism: Mesocricetus auratus (golden hamster)
Lineage: Eukaryota; Metazoa; Chordata; Mammalia; Rodentia; Cricetidae
Exons: 5
Source: RefSeq, a predicted model, not a curated record
UCGGAGAGCGAGAACUUGCUGUUCCUGCCCACAUAACCCAGGGAAGCAGACAUCUGCACUCUGCAGUCACAUUAGGGAGGUGCUACCUGUACCAACUUUGAGUAGGGGCUCGAGACAAGGUGACUCCUUCAGGAAACCUUUGGAAAUCUUGGUGUGAGUCAGAGAGACAUCAUUGCCUGGGUGGAAGAAGCCAUGAGUAAAAGAUCUUAGUCAUUGUCACAGAGGAUUGUAGAGGAGCAAAACCCAAAGAAUUCACAGGAGGACACCAAGAAAGAACACAUCUCGAAACCAUCAAGGUCACACAUGCACCAAUCAAAACCUGCAUGGGGGUAUUUAUAACACCCUUGUUCAGAACUGCCAGAACUUGGAAGCAACCAACACAACCCUAAAAGGUGAGAAUGAGCUGGAAAGAGAUAGAUAUGAAUGGAGAAGGCAAAUGGCAGCUGGAAGAGAACCCAUGGACUGUGUCUGGAUGGAGGAGCCGCCACUCAGGACACGCCAGGUCUGAGAUCCAGUCCUUCCUCCACCAUGCGGAAGCACAGCCCUGUGUUUAUUAAGAAAAGCUCACAUGGUUCAGCUCUUCUGAAUGCAGUCUGGAAACACUACAUGACGGCAGAAAGCUGUUUCCAAAACAUGGCUAAAGAGUGGUUCCAAAGGCUAGAGUGUUUCCCGAUCUUCUUCUUGCUCCCUUUCUUGGCAUCUCCAUAGACAACAUGGGAAUGAAAACCCAGCCUCACCCCUGUGGCUUCACAGGACUUUACAACAUUGUUGGGGUGCUCACUGAUUUCCCAAAGUGUGGGGGUGCUUCUUGCCCUAGGCAGCACUCAGCCAUUUUGCUGAGGAGUUGAGCCUUGGCCAUCUGGCAUUGAUUUACUCUGUUCAUCUCAAACCCUUCCAAAUGAUUACUUUAUUGGGGAGGGAAGUGGGGGUACUACAAAGUGACACAUAUUCCCAAGAAAGCCUGGCAGGCAGCCUUUUCCAGACAGAGACUGUAGUGGCCUCCACCUGUCUCUCUCAGAGGGACAAUACAUGCCAGGGUUUCCUUAUAGGAACACAUCAGGAUAAAGAAGGGAUUGUUUUGAUAUUUCUAUAUGUUCAUUUUAUUUUUUGAUCUUAUUCUCAAAAGCUUUUGUGUGGCUUAGGUUUGAGAGACACUCUGGUGGUUCCUGACACCUAUUUUGAGACAGUGAGUGAAAAGAGUCUGUUUCAACACAGUGCUUGGUAAGGUCUGGUUGGGUCACCCAUGACCAAAGGAAAUAAACAGAAACUGGGCUCUAGUGAGAAGCAUAACUUCAGGGGAUGGAAGUGAUAUUGUCAACAAAAUGAACGCUGCUCUUCACAUACUGUCUGGGAAGGAGACAAGGAUAAUGACUGUACAAGUGAUUCCUUCGAGAGUCCUCUGGGCGAAACCCACAAACUCACUUGCAGGCACCUGGAUGGGGCAGAUAGUCAUGAGAGUGUGUGGCGAAGGGGAUACAGCUCUGACACUGCUGCCUCAACAAGGGGCAAUGGAGAAACGCACACUUCCAGUUGGCAAACCUAAAACGAGCCCUAGGAGAUCUGAGAAGAAAACUGCUCUUAGGAUGAGAGUAACCGAGGAGACGUGGCAAGGGCUUUGAACUUAAGAUCAAGAAACAUCGUGUGCCUUGAUGGAGCUACUAAAGAGGUUUGACCAGUUGUAGACUUUUCAAUAGUGCUAUCCUCUCCAACUGUGAACCAUGAACUCAUUGCAGGGUCUGUCAACUCAGCCGCCCAGCAGCCCUUCUGCAUCCCAGGCCAAGUCCUGUCCUCAACUCAGGACCUUUUCUCAUGUAGACCCCUAAUGUAGAAUACUGUUUCUCAAAGUCUGAACCUGGCUAACUUAGCCUGUAGGCUUCUGCUCACAUGCCUUCCUCAGGUUAGGUCUGGUGUCCUCACAAGCAUCCCCGGGGCACCAGGCUCGCUGUUUCAAAGCAUUGACCGCAAACACUCUUCUCACUGGACUGAAGCUCCAGAAGCAUAGCAGCCAUUUUCUCUCAUUGAAAAUAAUUUACGUCAAUAGCCAACACCUGUGACAAGCAUAUAUUAAGCAGGCAAUAAACAUUUGUUAUAGAUUGAACCAGAGGGAGCAAUAAUCACUUGCCUUGAGUACCUGCAUAUUUCAGGCCAAGUGAGUCUCGGGAUUUAUUCUUUCUCUUCCAAAAGAAACAGCCACUGUGGUAAGAUAUUUGGAUUAAUAGCACCAUUUGAUGUUUUAGUUUGCGUAGCCCUUCCACUCCAUCUGCGCUCUGCAACUAAAGUUUCUUCUAAUGUGUUCCAGAAGGCCCAAAAUUUUCAAACGCAGAGGAUUAAGUCUGAUGGAUUGUAGGCUACUCCCAAGAGUCCGUAAGGACUUUGUGGAACUUCUGUAUUAGUGUUGAAUUCACUCCCAGUCAGUUUGAAAGCAUGUGUCCUACCUCAAAAGAGCCCGCACCAGCUGACGCAUCAGGUUGGAGUAAGCUAAUAAAAAGCAAAGUCACACA